Long non-coding RNA from Cebus imitator (Panamanian white-faced capuchin), 2919 nucleotides. RefSeq lists it as uncharacterized. The record is from RefSeq and is a predicted model, not a curated record. Lineage: Eukaryota; Metazoa; Chordata; Mammalia; Primates; Cebidae. The transcript is spliced from 3 exons.
GCAGGGGCGGGCUCCGAUCGCGGGCCGGGCGCCUGCGCACUGCUGCUCCCGCUGUUGCUGCGGAGCAAGGACGGGAAGCGAUGGCUGGGCCCGCGUGGAUCUCCAAGGUCUCUCGGCUGCUGGGGGCAUUCCACAACCCAAAACAGGUGACCAGAGGUUUUGCUGGUGGUGUGAGUAUAAUUAUGUUUUUUAUUUUUUCCUUUUAGAAGUUUCUCAAGAAAGAUGCUCUAAUAUAUUUAUUAUAUAGCCUUUUAUCUCCAUUCAUUUAAAAUUAGGGAAAGUUGGCCGUAUUUAUAAUGUAUGUUGAAAUUAUUGGCUGACACGCACGAAUCUAUUAGGUCACUUGCACAUUUGAAGGAAUUAUCUUCCGGCUGGCUAUGUAAGUUUGUCACAUUAAUAUCUUGAAGGAGCCUUGUUAAAAAUAGAUAGUAAGUGCCCUUGAGCCUGUUAUUUUAUUUCACAAUCUCAUUUUGGUGACACCGUCUUUUUCAAAACUAGUACAAGUUAAGAGAAAAUUGUUGAGAAGCUUCAAAACCUGCUUUGCAUUUUUAUUUUAUGAGCUUCCCUAAAACCAGUAGAUUUGAGUGCAAGUUAGGAACGCCUCAAUUAUCUAUGAGCCCUGUAGGCUUCUGCUUUCCUCAUAUAGUUUUUGUAGACUAUCACAGUAGUAGAUCAUCUAUUGUUCAUUAAAUCUGCUGCUUUUAGAGUUCCCAGCAUUAGAGUUUUGUGCUUUAAAAGCUGACCACAUUUUUGGAACAUUCUGAGACUGUGAGUCAGUGACUUCCUAUUUUUGUUUUUAUUCCCUCCCCCUUUUUACAGAAUCUGAUUUGAAUUUCAUAAUUCCUAUACUCCCAUAUAACAUCUAUGCCAUGAAAGAUUUACAAGACUGUAGUACAUUUUUUCCUCUACUUACUUUCUGUAUUGUGGAAGAAAAGUAGAUUUUCCGGUGACUUGAUGACAUUUAUUACUACAUGUUGGGAGAACAGGAAGAAGUAGCCAAAGAGUUCUUUUGGUUCUGCUUAUGCCAAAAAUGCAGGCUGGGACUUGCACUUCAAGCUCAAGGACAGCCAUGCUAGCAUUUCAAACACGUUCUGGAAGCUAAUGAGAUGAUCACUGCUCUCUGCUAUUAUUUAGUUUUCAGGCUAUUUAUUUGAAAAAAAAAAUUCAUCUGAUGGAGGUUAUUUUUGAAGAAAUAAGAGGAUAUAUUAAUUAAAAAAAAAAAUUUCUUCAACCCAGGAAAACUGGUAUGAGUCUUAGCCCUGGCUAAGACUGAGGUGGGAGACUUGCUUGAGGCCAGGAGUUCGAGGCUGCAGUGAGCUGUGGUGACACUUGUGAGUAGCCACUACACUCCUGCCUGGGAAAAUAACGAGUCCUCAUCUCUAAAAAAUAAAAACAGAAAAUUUAAAAAAUGAGAAAAAAAAAAAAAAAAAAACUAUUUCUUCAGUUGUACAGAAAAAAAAUCAGAAAUAAUUAGUCCAUCUAUCUGGGGAGACCUGAUUGUGAAGCAAAGGACCAACAAAACUUAAAUUAGUGAUUUUUAAAAAAUGCAAUUCCACCAACUGGAAUUGAAAAAAAGCCAAGCCCCUAGGAGGCGUAAAGUCCCAAGAUAAUAAAAUAUGUGGUUCCCAAAUGGAAAAAGUGGUACCGAUCUUCUCCCCUUACGUAUUUUUAUUUCUGCGUUUGAAAUGCUGGCUUCAUUUUGCCUGAAGUCUUAGAAUAAAUCAUUGUUGUUACAUUAUAAAAACACGAAUUUGUUGUUCUAAGUGUAACUCAGGCUUUGCAGGUAUGAUCACGUUUACUCUUUGGUGGCAGAUCAACUUUGCAAGCUUAUGUAGAUUGAUUACUCUUAGAUUUAAGCAGCCAGUUUGUGUGUGUGUGUGUGUGUGUGUGUACACAUUUACUUUUAUUGUAACAAAGCAACUUGUACACUUUUAAUGCUUAAAACUGAGCAUCAUCUUUCCUUUCCAGUGAAACAAAAAGAAACAUUUUUAAGAAGCAGGAACAAAAUUGCAAUAGAGAGUGUCAAUUCCAAAUAAGAUCCUACAGGUUCUGCUGAUUCUCACAGUGAAUGGCAGGGCUCAAGUCGUCAUUAGGAUAUAAUUUAUUUUAAAAGUGUCAUCUUAAACUGUAAGAAUGUCUGUCAAAUAUCACAAACAUGCCAAAGGAGAAGCCAUGUUAUCAUAAUGCCCACUUAACCCACCCAAACAUCUCAGACCCACCCUUUCCUGACCUUCUAUAAUCCCAUUUUUAAAAGUUUUUUUUUUUUUUUUUCUUUUUUUAAACAAGAAAAAGUAGACAGAUGCAUGUUGGUAAAUGCUGUCCAUAUUCACAUAGAGACACAGUGUACUCUCUGAGCCCAAUAUAGAGAGGAAGGAGGAAAAAGGCUAGAAUUCUAUGCACUACUACACAGGGGCCUAGCACCCUCCAGCUUCCAGCAGAGUGAAGGGAACAGGUUUUUCCUUUUUCCCCGCAGAGCUCGGUGUUAUUGAUCCCAUACAGUUUUGUUCAGACAGGAAGGGAUAAAAAUGAAUUUUGAACAGAAGAGGGUAGAGACUCUCUUCCCAUUGUAUUCAAGCAGCCAGUUUUAUAGACGAACUAAGAAAAAAUGGAAGCUGUCUCUUGAUAGAAAGUCUUAUUUCCCCUGAGUACAUAAAUAGACCUCAGUAGUAUUUUGGAAGUAUGUCUGAAAGUUUUUUUGCAAGACUGAAGAAGCUGCAUAAGAAGCUUUCCAGGAUCACAAUGGAAAGGAAAGGAAAACACUUGGCUUCAUGAGAAACAUUAAAUUUUAGGGAGAGACCAUUGUUAAUUUUUUUUUUUUUUUUUGCUUUCUUUGGUUUUAAAGGUUUGAAUUAAUUGGUCUCUUUGCAGCUUGUCUGAAAAGAAAUAUCAAUUAGGAAAUCUAUUUGGGCCGGGCGCAGU